Molecule: non-coding RNA, 27 nt
Filed under: Bombyx mori (domestic silkworm)
Lineage: Eukaryota; Metazoa; Arthropoda; Insecta; Lepidoptera; Bombycidae
Source: RNAcentral
UCUCUACGUCUUUAGGGUGCAUUUCUA